Molecule: ribosomal RNA, 497 nt
Filed under: uncultured bacterium
Lineage: Bacteria
Description: partial 16S ribosomal RNA
Rfam family: Bacterial small subunit ribosomal RNA
Source: RNAcentral
GAUGAACGCUGGCGGCGUGCCUAAUACAUGCAAGUAGAACGCUGAAGCUUGGUGCUUGCACCGAGCGGAUGAGUUGCGAACGGGUGAGUAACGCGUAGGUAACCUGCCUGGUAGCGGGGGAUAACUAUUGGAAACGAUAGCUAAUACCGCAUAACAGUAGAUAUUGCAUGAUAUCUGCUUGAAAGGUGCAAAUGCAUCACUACCAGAUGGACCUGCGUUGUAUUAGCUAGUUGGUGAGGUAACGGCUCACCAAGGCGACGAUACAUAGCCGACCUGAGAGGGUGAUCGGCCACACUGGGACUGAGACACGGCCCAGACUCCUACGGGAGGCAGCAGUAGGGAAUCUUCGGCAAUGGGGGGAACCCUGACCGAGCAACGCCGCGUGAGUGAAGAAGGUUUUCGGAUCGUAAAGCUCUGUUGUAAGAGAAGAACGAGUGUGAGAGUGGAAAGUUCACACUGUGACGGUAGCUUACCAGAAAGGGACGGCUAACUACGUG